UCCCCGAUAGCUCAACGGUUGAGCAGGCGGCUGUUAACCGCAAGGUUCGUGGUUCGAAUCCACGUCGGGGAGCCA
This 75-nucleotide transfer RNA is filed under the name Planctomycetota bacterium. RNAcentral's name for it is "Planctomycetes bacterium (sediment metagenome) tRNA-Asn". It matches the Rfam family "tRNA". Rfam says of the family: Transfer RNA (tRNA) molecules are approximately 80 nucleotides in length. Their secondary structure includes four short double-helical elements and three loops (D, anti-codon, and T loops). Lineage: Bacteria; Pseudomonadati; Planctomycetota. The record is from RNAcentral.